This is a non-coding RNA of Pelobates cultripes (western spadefoot toad), 226 nucleotides long. The record is from the annotation of a GenBank genome assembly. NCBI's taxonomy places the organism in Eukaryota, Metazoa, Chordata, Amphibia, Anura, Pelobatidae.
UGACAAUGACCCUAAGCACAAUGUCAAGUUGACACUCCAGUGGUUACAGCAGGAAAUGGUGAAGAUUCUGGAGUGGCCAUUACAGUCUCCUGACCUUAAUACCAUCAAGCCACUCUGGGUAGAUCUCAAGCGUGCUUUUAAUGCAAGACGACCAAAGACUUUGCAUGAGCUUGAGGCAUUUUGCGAAGACUAAUGGGUAGCCAUAUCACCUGCAAGAAUUACAGGG